Molecule: long non-coding RNA, 5934 nt
Filed under: Malus domestica (apple)
Lineage: Eukaryota; Viridiplantae; Streptophyta; Magnoliopsida; Rosales; Rosaceae
Description: long non-coding RNA (MDOM_LNC017823)
Source: RNAcentral
GUCUUUAUAGAUUUGGAAAAAGCGUAUGAUAGGGUCCCAAGAGACAUUCUUUGGAGGAUUUUAGAGAAGAAAGGAGUACGAGUAGCAUAUAUCCAAGCUAUAAAGGAUAUGUAUGAAGGAGCAAAGACUGCCGUAAGAACUCAUGAAGGACAAAACCGAAAGCUUCCCCAUAACUGUAGGAUUACAUCAAGGCUCAUCCUUAAGUCCUUACCUUUUUGCGUUGGUAAUGGAUGAGUUAACAGGACAUAUUCAAGAUGAUAUUCCUUGGUGUAUGCUUUUCGCAGACGAUAUAGUGUUGAUAGAUGAAACUCAGGAAGGGGUAAAUGCAAAGCUUAACCUUUGGAGAGAAGUGUUGGAAUCAAAAGGUCUUCGCCUAAGCCGAUCAAAGACAGAAUAUAUGGAGUGCAAGUUCAGUGCAAAUGGAGGCCAAAACGAGUUAGGGGUGAGGAUCGGAGAUCAAGAAAUACCAAAAAGCGACCGUUUUCGUUACCUAGGAUCUAUCUUGCAAAAAGAACGGAGAAUUAGAUGGAGAUCUCAACCAUAGAAUACAAGCUGGAUGGAUGAAGUGGAAGAGUGCAUCCGGUGUGUUGUGUGACCGCCGUAUGCCAUUGAAGCUCAAGGGAAAAUUUUAUAGGACGGCAAUAAGGUCGGCGAUGCUGUAUGGCACAGAAUGUUGGGCGGUGAAACAUCAACACGUACACAAAAUGGGUGUAGCGGAGAUGAGGAUGCUUCGUUGGAUGUGUGGGCACACGAGAAAGGAUAAGAUUAAGAAUGAGGAUAUCCGGGGUAAAGUAGGAGUAGCCGAAAUUGAAGGAAAGAUGAGAGAAAAUCGGUUACGGUGGUUUGGACAUGUGCAAAGAAGGCCUACUGACGCUCCGAUUAGAAGAUGCGACUAUGGGACAGAGGUUCAGGGCCGAAGGGGUAGAGGAAGACCUAGGAAAAACUUUGGAAGAGACUCUAAGAAAAGACUUAGAGUACUUGGUACUUGGAUCUAACGGAGGACAUGACACAGGAUCGAGCACAAUGGCGUUCUAAGAUUCAUAUAGCCGAUCCCACUCGGUGACUUGGAUUUUCCAAGUCUCCAAUCGAGAAGUUUUCCUCACUCGGGAAAUUAAGGGAACACUACCCCAACCUACAUGCUCCACUCAGAAAGCUUCAACAUACAAGCUUCAACAAAAAGAAAAUUCAAAGAACUUAGCGAAGAAGGCUUUGGUGUAUUUAACACAAUACGUUGAAAUGAAGGAAAGCUUAUUUAUUGAUAUCCCCGAUCAGCUACAAAUAUGUACAUAUACAUGAGUCAAAAUAAACACACAAGACGGAGCCUUCACAAAGGUUGCUUAGGAGAAGUCUCAGCAGUCGGUAGAGCCCCAGAAAGAGAAGGCACCGGAGGGGGAUCAUUUGGAGCCUCAGUACUGGACAGAACCCUAGAAGGAGGAGGCAUCAGAGGUUGAUCAUUCGGAGCUUCAUUACGCGGUACAGCCCCAGAAGACGAAGGCAAUAAAUGCCUUUGGAACAAACCCACAAAUCUCUGAUGAUCAAGUAAAACCUGACCAUCAGUUUCAUCUGGUCAAGCUGGUCAAGCUUCCUCUUCAUGUUUGUAGCAUAGUCAUGUGCGAGCCGGUGCAACUGUUUAUUCUCAUGCUUGAGCCCUCUAAUCUCCUGUUUGAGACUCAUCACUUCAGCCGCCAAGGAUUCAACUUGGCGGGUUCGAGCAAAUAGGCGUUGGGCCAUAUUAGACACAGAACCUGCACACUGAACACUGAGAGCCAGCGAAUCCUUAACAGCUAACUCAUCAGACCGUUUGGAAAGUAGUCUGUUAUCUUUGGGAGUGAGAAGGUUCCUGGCCACCACCGCAGCGGACAUAUCAUUCUUCAUCACGGAAUCCCCAACGGUAAGAGGACCAGUAGGAGAGACGAAGGAUGGGCGCCAUAUGUUGUCUGGAGAAGGUGGGGCUGCCUCUUCAACAAGGUUCAAGUCAAAACGACGGUCGGAGGGGCCAGACAUUUUCAAAGGUGUUGAAGAUAGAAGAGGUCGGACAAAUCAAGAUCUUAGAAGUGCAAGAAUGAAGCUUCUACUGGUGGAGAUUCAAGUGUGCUUUGGAACUUAAUGUCAGCCUCUAUAAAAAUCUGCACUCGACGGAGCUUCGGAAAUCGAAGAGGCGCCUGCUCAGAAAUCGAAGAGGCGUUUGCUUUCUCAAAAGCUGGGCUGCUUAGAGAUCACGAGGGUUGAUCUCAGAAAUCGAAGAGGCGUUUGCUUUCUCAAAAGUUGGGCUGCUCAAAGACCACGAAGGCCGAUCUCAGAAAUCGAAGAGGCGCUCGCUUUCUCAAAAGCUGGGCUCCCCAGAGACCACGAGGGCCGAUCUCAGAAAUCGAAGAGGCACCUACUUUUCCAGCCUUGUCAGCACCCGUCACACGCACACUCAGCUUUGCAGAAAUUAUGGGCAUUCUGUCGAAGACUUCUGGGGAAGUAGAAAACACAUGAAUCUUACUGUUCAAUCACCCACUUCCCACACGCAACAAUAGCUCAUGGGUACCACAGAUAACUUUGCCAAAGUUCUCUGCCAAAGUUGAGCACGUGAAGCUUGCAGCUCCCACUACAUCGCUCUGACCAAGAAGGGUAAAAGAAUAGCAAAGAAACAGCACUAACAAAGUUUAGACCCAUAAAUUUUGAAGGUCUAGCUACCAUAUUAUUACCCACAAGGGUAAAGGAACAGUACCACUGCUGGAUAAUUGGAAAGUCCCUGUGUGUCAACCUCUGUGCUUCGUGGCAAGGUAGACUAGCAAACAUGCCCAACCUUUACUCACAUUCGAGAAAACACUCCCAAUAAGAUUGCUUGCUCCAAAAUCGAAGAGGCACCGUCCUCCGAAUCUCGAGAGCCAGACUCCCAACAUGACUACUUUCUUAAAAAUCAAAGAGAGGGUAAAGGAACAGUACCAUUGCUGGAUAAUUGGAAAGCCCCUGUGUGUCAACCUCUGUGCUUCGUGGCAAGGUAGACUAGCAAACAUGCCCAACCUUUACUCACAUUCGAGAAAACACUCCCAACAAGAUUGCUUGCUCCAAAAUCGAAGAGGCACCGCCCUCCGAAUCUCGAGAGCCAGACUCCCAACGUGAUUACUUUCUCAAAAAUCGAAGAGACACUGCUCCCCGAAUCUUCGAGAGCCAGACCCCCAGCAUGAUUGCUUUCUCAAAAAUCGAUGAGGCAUCGUUCUCCGAAUCAAUCGAAGAGGCGCUCGCUUUCUCAAAAGCUGGGCUGCUCAGAGACCACGAGGGCCGAUCUCAGAAAUCGAAGAGGCACCUACUUUUCUAGCCUUGUCAGCACCUGUCACACGCACUCAGCUUUGCAGAAAUUAUGGGAAUUCUGUCGAAGACUUCUGGUGAAGUAGAAAGCACAUGAAUCUUACUGUUCAAUCACCCACUUCCCACACGCAACAAUAGCUCAUGGGUACCACAGAUAACUUUGCCAAAGUUCUCUGCCAAAGUUGAGCACGUGAAGCUUGCAGCUCCCACUACAUCGCUCUAACCAAGAAAGGUAAAAGAAUAGCAAAGAAACAGCACUAACAAAGUUUAGACACAUAAAUUUUGAAGGUCUAGCUACCAUAUUAUUACCCACAAGGGUAAAGGAACAGUACCACUGCUGGAUAAUUGGAAAGUCCCUGUGUGUCAACCUCUGUGCUUCAAGGCAAUGUAGACUAGCAAACAUGCCCAACCUUUACUCACUUUCGAGAAAACACUCCCAACAAGAUUGCUUGCUCCAAAAUCGAAGAGGCACCGUCCUCCGAAUCUCGAGAGCCAGACUCCCAACAUGACUACUUUCUCAAAAGCGAAGAGAGGGUAAAGGAACAGUACCAUUGCUGGAUAAUUGGAAAGUCUCUGUGUGUCAACCUUUGUGCUUCGUGGCAAGGUAGACUAGCAAACAUGCCCAACCUUUACUCACAUUCGAGACAACACUCCCAACUGGAUUGCUUGCUCCAAAAUCGAAGAGGCACCGCUCUCCGAAUCUCGAGAGCCAGACUCCCAACAUGAUUACUUCCUCAAAAAUCGAAGAGACACUGCUCUACGAAUCUCGAGAGCCAGACCCCCAGCAUGAUUGCUUUCUCAAAAAUCGAAGAGGCAUCGUUCUCCGAAUCUCGAGAGCCAGAUACCACAGACCACUUUUUCAAAGUGCUCUGACAGAGUUAAAACAUGUGAAACUGGCAGCUCCCACUACCGUGCUAUGACCAAGCAGGGUAAAGGAAUAGCAUUACUACUUGUUGUUAGGGAGACUCCUAUAUAUGUCGACCUCCAUCCCCAACGGACAGGCAGACCUGCAAAAAUGCUCAACCCUUCAUCAUAUCUGAGAGGGCACUCCCAACGAAGCCUUUCGAAAUAUUCAGCUUUCUUUCCCCCCGAUAAUACCUCUGCAAACAAGCUAUACUAGAGCAAGAAUAUCUCAUAUCAUCAGGGUUAAAAGCAAGAGUAUCCCAUAUCAUGCUUUUUCCCUAUCUUUUCCUUUGGCCUUGUUUUUACCUGCAAGACAAGGAGAAAGAGAGCAAUCAGUCAGCACUUGGAUCAAGCUUCCAGCCAGGAACUGACUGCCUGGAACCCCUUACCUGAUUACUUACCUGGCAUUGCUCUCGAGUACUCAUCUUCAACAUCUUAUGUUUCCAGGGAAGAUUCCGCAUCUACUUGAGGAACAGAUAGGGCAAGUGCGAAGGAUACAAGGAAGCAUGUGGAGACAAGCGUAACAGCACACGUGCCGAUACACCCAUUACUCUGUCAAAAGCAAAAGUAUCCCAUAUCAGCAGGGUGGAACGUACUCUAGAUUUGAUGGACUUGUUUUGACCCUCAAAUUCUUCAGUCGGCCUUAUACUCUGGAGGAAACCAGAAAACCCUCCAGCUCAGUUCAAGAAUAAGCCUGUGGAAAGUUACUUCUUCAAAAGCAAAAGUAUCUCAUAUCAUCUCUUCUCAUUUUUCUUCUUUUUAUCCUUCAUGCUGCUGCAAGAUGGGGAGAAGGUGAACAAUCAGUCGGAGCUCUGAUUGCUUACCUUGUCUGUCACCUCUUUCAGCAGACCCCCUAGCUCGGCGACUUGGGAGACUCCUACUACAUGGUUUGUAUCGCGCUUGACCAAGCCUGAGACUACAAGUAAGCUUCAAGUGAAAUUGAUACAUUACCUUGUGCAUCUCCACCAGUUAAAGAUACCACCCCUGGAUGGAGGAAGAGUACUUCCAGAGAAGAUGCCACAUCUACCUAUGAGACAGAUAAGGCAAGUCAAGACGACACCACACUCCGAUACUUAGAAGUUUCGUGAUUACGAGAUCAUUCUCCCACAAUAUUUCCUAAUGUCAUUUGUACUAAAUCAUUCACUUGUACUCACUAAAGGAAAGCUUGAACCUAUGUACUUGUGUAAACCCUUCACAAUUAAUGAGAACUCUUCUAUUCCGUGGACGUAGCCAAUCUGGGUGAACCACGUACAUCUUGUGUUUGCUUUCCUAUCUCUAUCCAUUUUAUAUACUUAUCCACACUAAUGACCGGAGCAAUCUAGCGAAGAUCACAAAAAGCGACCGUUUUCGCUACCUAGGAUCUAUCUUGCAAGAGAACGGAGAAUUAGAUGGAGAUCUCAACCAUAGAAUACGAGCUGGAUGGAUGAAGUGUAAGAGUGCAUCUGGCGUGUUGUGUGACCGUCGUAGGCCACUGAAGCUCAAGGGAAAAUUUUAUAGGACGGCAAUAAGGCCAGCGAUGUUGUAUGGCACAGAAUGUUGGGCGGUGAAGCAUCAACACGUACACAAAAUGGGGUGUAGCGGAGAUGAGGAUGCUUCGUGGGAUGUGUGGGCACACGAGAAAGGAUAAGAUUGGGAAUGAGGAUAUCCGAGGUAAAGUAGGAGUAGCCGAAAUUGUAGGAAAGAUGAGAGAAAAUCGGCUCCGAUGAUUUGGACAUGUGCAAAGAAGGCCGACUG